RNAcentral lists this ribosomal RNA (253 nucleotides) under uncultured bacterium. Its description in RNAcentral is "partial 16S ribosomal RNA". It matches the Rfam family "Bacterial small subunit ribosomal RNA", at positions 524 to 776 of the family's 1533-position model. The record is from RNAcentral.
UACGUAGGGCGCAAGCGUUGUCCGGAAUUAUUGGGCGUAAAGAGCUCGUAGGCGGCGUGUCGCGUCGGUUGUGAAAGCCCGGGGCUUAACUUCGGGUCUGCAGUCGAUACGGGCAUGCUUGAGUUCGGUAGGGGAGAUCGGAAUUCCUGGUGUAGCGGUGAAAUGCGCAGAUAUCUGGAGGAACACCGGUGGCGAAGGCGGCAUCCUGGACCGACACUGACGCUGAGGAGCGAAAGCCAGGGGAGCAAACGGG